This is a non-coding RNA of Dermacentor albipictus, 2936 nucleotides long. The record is from RefSeq and is a predicted model, not a curated record. Lineage: Eukaryota; Metazoa; Arthropoda; Arachnida; Ixodida; Ixodidae.
AGUAUGAGUCGUGCGCUGCAAAGAAUCUUCUGUGGAGGCACCUGCACUUAGCUGAUCAGGUCACCAAGUUCCUUUGACAACCUCAAAUAAGACUACUACGGGCUCAUGUGAACAAGGAUUGACAGAAAGCAACAAGUGAUGUCUACGUUUCUGAAGGUUUCAUCCUACCCAACAGUGUGUGCAAAGUUCUUGGCCUCGGUCCAAAAUUUGCCCAAGCUACCAGCUGGACUAAACCGGAACUUCCCUGUCCGUCAUAAGUGUCCAGAAGAGCCCCGCAAGAAGAUGGUGUGAGGAUGAAUUCGGAAGGUUUAGAUGCCCUGUUGUGAUCAAUCGGCUGCAAGUCUUAAGGAGGCUGGUUACCCUAACAACGUGUUGGUGUCGGUGGCAGAAAGGCUGCUCAAACAGGAACUUUCGAGACGAUGCCUCCGUGCAAAUGCAAGAGCUAGCAGCCGUGACCAGGUGAAAACCGCUGAGAUUCCGUAUAUACGCCAGAUAUCACAUAGCCUGAAAAUGAUAGGAAGCCAAGGUAAUGUGCGGGUGUUUUUUCAGCUCCAAAUAAGCUAAGCACCUUGUGUAAAACCACUAACCCAAUAAGGACAAAUAAGCCGGUUUGUGGUAGCAUUGCAAAGAUGAGUUCGUCGGAUGCGGUGUAGGAGUGGUCUAUCAUAUUCCACUGUCAUGCGGUAGAUGCUACAUAGGCCAAACCGGAAGAUGCAUUAAUGAGAACUUAAGAGAGCACAGAAAUAUAGUGUAUCAGGUGACGAUUUUCUUGCUUUGCAUUGCAAUACAUGUCCAUGUCGCCCUCUUCUAAAUGACACCGCUAUUAUAUACAGGGAUAAGCGCAAGUGUGUAAGAUUAAUAGUAGAAACUGGGCAAAUCCUAUAGGCCGCUGACCAAUGUAUCAGCAAACUAUCACUAUCAUUGUCCGUGAGAAAGUUAGAUUAUUUUCGCAUGCCAUGAAAGUUGACUGCAUUUGCAAUGGGUCAUUUAGGUUUCUUGGUGUUUUUUUGCUGUACCGGUUUUAGACAGUGUGGCUCUACUCAGCCAUAUAUACAGUCGACUUCCAUUAAUUUGAUCAUCUUUCUGGGGUUUUACUUGCCAAAACCAGUUCUGAUUAUGAGGCAUGCCCGUUAAUUCGAUCCUGACGGGACCAUUGAGACUGGUCGAAUUAAACAAAAGGCAUAAAAAAACAUUGAAACGUGCCAUUGCUUCACUUUGCAGUAUUUGCCUUCAAAAUUAACUUUGGCCGCGUUUCAGUUUAGCGCUACACCUGCAACCAUCAACAGCUACGAACUCGCCCAGUUUACUAUUUUUCUUAAUGUUAGCUUCACUGCAAUACAGCCAUGUUAUGCAUAGAACCAUACCAAGCAGGGAAAGGUGCCAUUGUUGCAAAUCAGCACGUGUUCCCUAAAUUACAUACAUGCACAUGUGCAGUCUCCAGUCACAGUAUGAGCACCAAGACGCCUAAUAGGUGUAUGGGCAGGCCUUCAGAGUUUGAUAUAUUCACACUCUUUUGUUGGCUUUUAACAUCUCCUCGGCUUAACGCAGUUUUUUCAACUUACUGCCUUCCUUUUUGCUAGCUUUCCCAAAACACAUGAUUAUUUUCCACUUCUCUGUGCACGGCACAUUUACUUAAAGAAGACAUACUAGGCCUCAUUAACAGUCUCAUACACGAGACAUGCAUGGAAGGUGAAAAAAGGACUCAAAUCACCACUGAAAUGUAAGAAACAGCUCUGAAUGGCUGCCACUAUGCUUAUUAGGUGGCUAGGUUCUCCUACUGUGACAGGAAACUGCAUGCUUGUAUAAUCAAGGAACACGUGUGAUGUCCUGUGACAGUGGCCCUUUUCCAUUCUCAAUAUGCUUCACCACAGUAAGUUGCAUAUGCUUCAGCGCAUAACACGGCUGUAUUUGGGCGAAUCUGACCAGUGAGGUUCGAAUUAUCCGACGAAGGCCAAUUUUGAGAUUGAAAUAACAGAAGUUAGGGCUCACAGAAAUGUAUUUCAUCAGCAAACAACUUUAUUUAAAAGGGGUGACUGACUACUUCUAUAUCAUUAAUACAUAUUAAAAAUGACAAGAGGCCAAGCAUGCUGCUUUGAGGAACACUGGAAGUAACUGGCACUUCAUGGGAAGGGCAAUCGCUUAUGCUGACGAAUUGUUUGUGCUUAGUUAAGUAUGCAGAGAUUCAGCCAAUUAAGUAUGGCAGAAGAUUUGCGAUUUAGAGCUUCUCAAUUAAUUUAGAGUGUCAAACAAGCUCAAAUGCUUUUCUGUCUGCAAUACAGGAAUAUAACAUCAAUCUGGCCAGGUUUAUCAAGAAUGCUAGCAAAUGCUUGCAUGUAUAAACCCGUGAUCCAACUUCCAAUAAAUCGUUGAAAGUACCACUUGUGUGUGUCUCUUCUCUCGCCUGUCUUGUCUAUGGUUUCUGCGCUAAGCAUUAAAAAAAUGUUGUACCAACAAUGUUAAAAGUCCACCCUUGCAAUGUAAAGUUUCUUUUUUUUCAAGAAUACUCCACACUUCUCUGAAAUGUGAACAUAUUUGUUAUUCAAUAUUCAAUAGGUCAGUUUCGUCAAAUAUCCAUAUUUAAUUCUAUCCAGAAAUAUCAGGAUAUGAAAACCCCUACUACAUAUAGGCCUUGAGUGGAGCAGUAUGGCUUAAAUUCGUGUAACCAAUGCUACUUACAGGGAACAAGAGGUGAGUCUGGGGUUUUAUGUGCAAAAACCACGACAUAAUUAUGAGACACACCAUAGUGGGGGACUCCGAAUUAAUUUUGACCACCUGGAAUUCUUCAAUGUGCACUCAAUGCAUGGUAAACAGGUGUUCUUGCAUUUCUUCCCCGUGGAAAUGCAGCUGCUGCAGUCGGAAUUUGAUUCCGCGCCCUUGGGAUUAGCAGCACACAAUGCCAAAGGCAUUAUGGCGGGUUUUGAAACUCAAGAGGUGGA